GACCUGUGAGUUUAACACUUCAUGACUGAGAGCUGCCCUUCAUGGCAACAGAUCACACAGCAGCAAUGACUUUCAUCACCAUCUUCAUAUGGACACUUGUCUGCUUUCAUGGUUCCAGUGGCCAGAUUACUGUGACUCAGACUCCAUCAGUGACAUCUGUUCUCCCAGCACAGACAGUCACUGUGAGCUGUAAGACCAGCAGUUCUGUGGGUACCUGUUCUUAUAGU
Lepisosteus oculatus (spotted gar) is the source of this 227-nucleotide long non-coding RNA. RefSeq lists it as uncharacterized. The record is from RefSeq and is a predicted model, not a curated record. NCBI's taxonomy places the organism in Eukaryota, Metazoa, Chordata, Actinopteri, Semionotiformes, Lepisosteidae.